AUUGAACGCUGGCGGCAGGCCUAACACAUGCAAGUCGAGCGAGCGGCGGACGGGUGAGUAAUGUAUGGGGACCGCCCGAUAGAGGGGGAUAACUACUGGAAACGGUAGCUAAUACCGCAUACUAUCGGAUAACCCAUAUUGGAUUAGCUAGUAGGUGAGGUAAUGGCCCACCUAGGCGACGAUCCCUAGCUGGUCUGGGAGGAUGACCCGUCACACGACGACUGAGACACACCCAACACUCCUACGGAGGCAGCCGUGGGGAAGAUUGCACAAUGGGCGCAAGCCUGAAGCAGCCAUGCCGCGUGUAUGAAGAAGGCCCUAGGGUUGUAAAGUACUUUCAGUCGGGAGGCGUUACCGACAGAAGAAGAACCAGAUAACUCCGUGCCAGCCGCGGCGGUAAUUC
RNAcentral lists this ribosomal RNA (403 nucleotides) under uncultured bacterium. RNAcentral describes it as "partial 16S ribosomal RNA". It matches the Rfam family "Bacterial small subunit ribosomal RNA", at positions 30 to 526 of the family's 1533-position model. The record is from RNAcentral.